CCUACGGGAGGCAGCAGUGAGGAAUAUUGGUCAAUGGUCGGGAGACUGAACCAGCCAAGCCGCGUGAGGGAUGACGGUACUGAGUAUUGUAAACCUCUUUUGUCAGGGAACAAAGCCGGGGACGCGUCCCCGGAUGAGUGUACCUGAAGAAAAAGCAUCGGCUAACUCCGUGCCAGCAGCCGCGGUAAUACGGAGGAUGCGAGCGUUAUCCGGAUUUAUUGGGUUUAAAGGGUGCGCAGGCGGUCUGUUAAGUCAGCGGUCAAAGCCCGGGGCUCAACCCCGGCCCGCCGUUGAAACUGGCAGUCUCGAGUUGGAGAGAAGUAUGCGGAAUGCGUGGUGUAGCGGUGAAAUGCAUAGAUAUCGCGCAGAACUCCGAUUGCGAAGGCAGCAUGCCGGCUCCACACUGACGCUGAGGCACGAAAGCGUGGGUAUCGAACAGGAUUAGAUACCCUUGUAGUC
RNAcentral lists this ribosomal RNA (459 nucleotides) under uncultured bacterium. Its description in RNAcentral is "partial 16S ribosomal RNA". It matches the Rfam family "Bacterial small subunit ribosomal RNA", at positions 338 to 795 of the family's 1533-position model. The record is from RNAcentral.